RNAcentral lists this ribosomal RNA (492 nucleotides) under uncultured bacterium. RNAcentral describes it as "partial 16S ribosomal RNA". It matches the Rfam family "Bacterial small subunit ribosomal RNA", at positions 29 to 507 of the family's 1533-position model. The record is from RNAcentral.
AGUGAACGCUGGCGGUAGGCCUAACACAUGCAAGUCGAACGGCAGCACAGUAAGAGCUUGCUCUUACGGGUGGCGAGUGGCGGACGGGUGAGGAAUACAUCGGAAUUUACUUUUUCGUGGGGGAUAACGUAGGGAAACUUACGCGAAUACCGCAUACGACCUACGGGUGAAAGCAGGGGAUCUUCGGACCUUGCGCGAUUGAAUGAGCCGAUGUCGGAUUAGCUAGUUGGCGGGGUAAAGGCCCACCAAGGCGACGAUCCGUAGCUGGUCUGAGAGGAUGAUCAGCCACACUGGAACUGAGACACGGUCCAGACUCCUACGGGAGGCAGCAGUGGGGAAUAUUGGACAAUGGGCGCAAGCCUGAUCCAGCCAUACCGCGUGGGUGAAGAAGGCCUUCGGGUUGUAAAGCCCUUUUGUUGGGAAAGAAAAGCAGCAGGUUAAUACCCCGCUGUUCUGACGGUACCCAAAGAAUAAGCACCGGCUAACUUCGUG